GCCGCGUGCCAAGCUCCGAGCUCCGCGGCUCACCUGCGGCCCCUCCCCGCGCCAGGUGUAUAACUGUGCCGUGAAAACACAGUUUUGCUACCCCAGGAAGAGGACUCAUAUGUAACUGAGAUUAAUAUUGCAAUAACCUGAGGCAUCUCGGACACUACCCGUGGGGACCCGUGGAUGAGCGCGGCACCAGCUGCUUCCCACUCGGGAACCUACCUCCUGACUGACAAAUGUAUUCCUGAAGAGAAAACCUCACAGACAUGGGCAUCAGAAGAGGGGCCCAUGGACAUCCGAAGCAGCACUGCUGGGAAGCAGAAGCCUGGGGAGGAGUGAAGAGAGGACAGCACCCUCACCCUUUCACCAUUUCUUGGCAGUGAAAAAAAAUGGGCACGCUGCAGAUUUUGAUCCAGCGUUGAAAAAGAAAAAGCAAAACCCAUGCGUUUAUAUUAAGCUCGGAGGAAGGUGUCAACCUCAGCAACAUGCAGAUAAGGGAUUCAUAAGCAUGUAGAAAUGUACACAGAGAACCAGGAAAUCAUAUAGCAUCCUUAUCCUCACAGGAGCCAAGACUUCUAGGGAAUGCCUGAAAUCACAGAUGAUACCAGCCACACUGUAAUGGUUUUCCUAUGCAUGCUUAAGAUAAAGCUUAAUUUAUAAAGUAGGCACAGUAACCGUAGCUAAGAAUCCAGGGCUGACAGUGGCAAUCAAUGAUAGCAUGUACAUUUAGCACUUAUAGAUCCCUGGAGUCAAUCACUUACACAGAAAACAAACAAAGCCGAAUGAAAUAGAGCAAGGGAGGAGGUCUGCGCCCAUGAUCCCUGGACUUGGGAGGCUGAGACAGCAGGGUUGCCAAGGACUAGAGGCCAGCCUAAGCUACACAGUGAGUUCCAGGCCAGCCCAAAAUACAGGGGGAAAAGAGAGGUAGAGACAAUCACAUACGGUGAUACAAUUGCCAGCUGUAGGACAUUUGUACUUUGGGGCCAUUGAGAAACUAGGGACAACUUAAAGACAAGAACUGUGAUACCACACGGCCUAUCUGGGGACAGAGAUGGCCAAGUAGUUAGCAGGCAGAAGCUACAUCACGUGGAUACACAGGACAAGAUGAUUCAGGUCCUGGGUCGGAUGGCACGAGAGUCAGUUACACUAUUCAGAAGAGCGUGUACCUUUAAAUGGACGAGUUACUUGGUCCUGGGAUUUUUUUUUUCCCAUUUAGCAUCUUUGGGUCAGAGUUGACCACAGAUAACUGAGAUUGCGAAACCCAAAUCUUGGAGAAGUGAGACCCUCGUAAACACAAUAUUGGAGACCAUGUUUAUUUACCUUUAUGGAGAGGGAUGCAAUAUGAUGGGGAAUGGGGAAGGGUUAAAAAAGUAUUUCACGAUGUCCUGGUUCUAAAAAUGAAUGCUUGGGAGCUGAGGGUGUAGCUCAGUGACUGACAGCCUGCAUGCAUACCGAAGGGUUUAAGCCGUACAGAUAUAAACUCUCCAUACAUGGGUGCUUACUUUAUAAUUCUUUAUUUACACAUAUGUCUAAAUGUGAUAAUCAUACUUCCUCCGAGGAAAAUCCACCAAGGCAGAGCCUGUUGUGAGUUGGAAGCUCCUAACCAAGGGGAGGGGUCUUCUGUCAUUUCCCAGCCAAAGGUCACCCCUCUUCUUCCCUCUCUUGAGGUUCUGAGUCAACCCACAACAGACAGGCAGGCUCUG
This is a long non-coding RNA of Apodemus sylvaticus (European woodmouse), 1694 nucleotides long. RefSeq lists it as uncharacterized. NCBI's taxonomy places the organism in Eukaryota, Metazoa, Chordata, Mammalia, Rodentia, Muridae. The record is from RefSeq and is a predicted model, not a curated record. The transcript has 3 exons.